UACGGAGGGAGCUAGCGUUGUUCGGAAUUACUGGGCGUAAAGCGUGUGUAGGCGGUUUGCUAAGUCGGAUGUGAAAGCCCCGGGCUCAACCCGGGAAGUGCACUCGAAACUGGCAGGCUAGAGUACUGGAGAGGUUGGUGGAAUUCUCGGUGUAGAGGUGAAAUGCGUAGAUAUCGGGAGGAACACCUGUGGCGAAGGCGGCCCCCUGGUUGGAUACUGACGCUGAUACGCGAAAGCGUGGGGAGCAAACAGG
This 253-nucleotide ribosomal RNA is filed under the name uncultured bacterium. Its description in RNAcentral is "partial 16S ribosomal RNA". It matches the Rfam family "Bacterial small subunit ribosomal RNA", at positions 524 to 776 of the family's 1533-position model. The record is from RNAcentral.